RNAcentral lists this ribosomal RNA (207 nucleotides) under Neofusicoccum australe. RNAcentral's name for it is "5.8S ribosomal RNA". The stretch from base 12 to 165 matches the Rfam family "5.8S ribosomal RNA". From Rfam's summary of the family: 5.8S ribosomal RNA (5.8S rRNA) is a component of the large subunit of the eukaryotic ribosome. It is transcribed by RNA polymerase I as part of the 45S precursor that also contains 18S and 28S rRNA. Functionally, it is thought that 5.8S rRNA may be involved in ribosome translocation. RNAcentral also lists the same sequence under 1 other name. The record is from RNAcentral. Lineage: Eukaryota; Fungi; Ascomycota; Dothideomycetes; Botryosphaeriales; Botryosphaeriaceae.
UAAUAAACUAAAACUUUCAACAACGGAUCUCUUGGUUCUGGCAUCGAUGAAGAACGCAGCGAAAUGCGAUAAGUAAUGUGAAUUGCAGAAUUCAGUGAAUCAUCGAAUCUUUGAACGCACAUUGCGCCCCUUGGUAUUCCGAGGGGCAUGCCUGUUCGAGCGUCAUUUCAACCCUCAAGCUCUGCUUGGUAUUGGGCUCCGUCCUCC